UAGCAAUUUAUUUUCAAUGAUAAGACAUGAAUUGCCGAUUGGCUUUAUUAACAUGAUUUAUACUAUUGGAAGUAUUUAGAAACAAAAUUUCUUAUUUUUUCGACAUAAUUUGAGUAGUGAUCAAAAGCUCUCAAAGUUGACAAUUUUAAAUACCGAUAUGAUGCAUUUGUAGGUGUAAGGAUAAAAUUUUGAUAAUUUUUUUUUCACUAUUUAGAAUUACAAAGUCGACACUUCAAAUGUAAA
Molecule: long non-coding RNA, 243 nt
Filed under: Ananas comosus (pineapple)
Lineage: Eukaryota; Viridiplantae; Streptophyta; Magnoliopsida; Poales; Bromeliaceae
Description: long non-coding RNA (ACOM_LNC028960)
Source: RNAcentral